GCCACCUACAAGGAGAGAAACACCCCCUUAGUUUCACAGAGACUCAAAGGCGGCCUUGGGAAACAGAGCCGGCGUUAUGGGUCUGGGGGGAGAGGGGCCCUGGCGAUGGACCUGGUUCAAAUCUGCACGGGGCAAUGAACGCACUCAAAUAAUGUGACCUUGGCGUGCCGACAUGAAGGCUGUGUCUCCAUUCCCUCAUCUCCACAAUGAGGACAGUGGUGGUGGCAACAAUAAUAGUAAUAACAGUGACAAUGACAGUUCACAUUGACGGGCCGCCUCCUAAAAGCAGGACCCUGUCGUGCGUGUGUCUAGGACACCAUCUCAUUUCCCGGCCACGUUAGAAAGUCACCCAAGGGGUCCUCACUGAAAAUCCAGCGGCAGUCCCCAGGCUCGCCGGACAGGAGGUAGCACCAGUUGGUUUCUGUUGGUGGAGAUGCUUGAUAUUCAACAUGAAGUGUCUACAUUCUCCAUGGUAUGUAAAUCACACUCGAAUAGACCAAUGGGACUCGCUAUUUAGAGGGUUUUGGCACAACCAAGAGCCCUUUUGUGCUUCAAAUAGCCACCAUUAUUAAAAAUAGUUGAGCUGGCACACUUUUCGUGUGUUUGGGGCGGGAGGAGUGUCAAGUAUUUUCUGUCUUUAGUAUGGUGGGAAAUUCAUUGGUGGUCAUAAUUGUUGAACAGUGCUCCAUUCCUGGGUGUAUCUCACCUCUCUCUGGGGCACUGAGCUUGUUAAUUAUAUGGACUCACUCGAUUGAUUCUCUCCCAAGCCCACACCAGGCCUUAGGUCUUGGGAGCAGUCUUCAUCCUUGGUGCCUUUGACAGGAAGGGAAUGAGCAGAGGCCCCCAGCCAGCAGGGGGCGCUGUGCGGCUUCUAGUAUGGGUGCUUCCUGGGCUAACCGUGAGGAAGCCUUUGAAACGCAGGCAAAUCAGCUCCCGCUUUCUUCCCAUCGGAUCACGAUUUGUACAAAACAGAAAUUCAGAGAACCUGAACUUACUGAGCUGGCUCACGAGUGCAACCGUUUUUCCCAAGUCCUCUCAAGGUGCAGGACAGGUAGAUAAGGGGCAGGAGGGGAAUGUGGCCAGAGGUAAGCUGGAAAGUGGCCCAGCCUGGCCAGGUAGGAUUUUAUGCUAAGGACCUUUGCAAGUGGCUUGCUGAGAUCCUGUGUUAAAUGACCUUGGGGGGUCACUGAUGGGCUGGAUGCUUUGUUGGGGAGCUGCUCUUCACGUGUUGGGGGGGGGCACUGGCUUGGAUACCAACUGCUAUCAAUCUCAGUUCUGCUGCAGGAUUCUAAAUGGAGGAUCCUAAAACUCGGGAUGCUUGGGCCUUUGGAAGUUCAGCAGGAGGGGGGAAGGGCAAUGCUGGGCCCGUCCACCUGUUCCGCCAGGGUCCCCUACAUGCCAUGCAUUUGUAUCCGUGUGCAGAACCAACACAUGCAUGCACGCAUACACCUGGCAGGGGUUCAGUAACAGGUUCACAGAUGAAAGAUCUGAUAACCUCUAGCAUUACAUGGUAAAAACAAAUAGCUAAUGUUUACUCUUGCAGAAGAGAGUAAACAUUCUCAGUAGUGAGCUGCCUGAGCUAAUUAACAAGGCUCAUUCAUUCCACACAUUUAUGCCAUGUGUCGGUGUUGUUUUAGGCUGUGGAGAGUGACCGUAUGGGUAGCAGAGUCCCCCUGCUCACUGGGAGACAGUUUGAGAGCCGUGGCCUAAGUCGGGUACAAUGAUCAGGACGGCCUCUCUGGUGAUCUGACAUCUAAACAGAGACUCGAAUGAUGAUAGGAAGAACAAAGAUCCAGUGGCAGCAUGUCUCAGGAAGGAGGGAAUAGUACAUGCCAAGGCCCUGAGGCAGAAAAAGGGAUGGCACAUUCAAGGAAGGGUAAGAAGACCCUAAAGGAGGAUGUGGAGACCCCAAAGACCUCAUCAGGAGCUGUCACACCAAGGACUCUGUAGUAUGUCCAGUAAGAAGCUGUUCCAGCCUGUGAUAUUGAAGGGUUAAGUGCUUCCAUGUAUGUUUUUAAACGAUGACCCGAGCAGCUGUUGGAAAGUAGAUCUUGCAGAGAAAAGCCAAGGAACAAAGAGACAUGUUAGGCAGUGAUGUUAGCCACUGGAGAUGGCCAUGGCUUGGCUCCAGGUGGCCACUGGGGACAUGAGAUGUAGUCCAACAACAGGCCAGGAGAAUCCAUGGAGAUACUUCGUGUGUUAGGGUCGGUCAGGGAGGAGGCUGGAGACUUUGGCUAGAGCCCAAUGUUAAGGCUGUAGCGCUCGGGCCCCUUCUUGCCUUUGCACCAGGUCCUCCUCUAGAGGACCACAAAGGGACCCGCACCCCCAGCCUUCCUGGUCCUCGACACCCUCCUCUGCUCCUCUCUGACAUCCAAGCUUCAUUCAAAGCCCUGCGUUUUCCCUCCUCCCCCUCACUUCUAGGAUUUACCAUCCACCCCCCGUCAGCUCUCCAUUACCGUCUCUCUCAUGCACUUUUGCUAAUUGUUGUGCACUUAUUAGAAAAUUGACUUCCAGGCAGGACAGGAACUGUAGUAACUUUUGCUUUUAGAACAGCAAGGAUCGCCCUCAAAAGGCUGUUUACUUCCUCUCUCGCCCUUGCAUGGCAAUUAAGGGUCGCUAGCAGGGCUGAUUUGUGAUAUCUUGAAUAUCUUGGUUUUAGCCUCCUGGGCCGAAGAGCCAGCUUCCUCCUUGAGCAGGAGGAAAUGCGAGAUCCAUGCUCUUCCUCUCAAUUAUCUUUUUUUCCCCUAAAUUUUAUAACAUUGGGGAUGGUUUAGUGCUACAGGGCAUGCGUCUUAAAAACAUAAGCCUUAGGUACAAUUGGGUUCUUUUUUGUGCUAAAUCAUAACUGAUUUUAAUACUACAUUCCCGUCUCUAACCUUGUUCAGAAUAUUGUUGGUUACGUUUAGAUCGUCAACUUGGAGUCAGAUAGUCCUCCCAGAGGUGCGAGGCUCGAUUUGGAGACCUUGGUUCAACCUAGCAUUAAGGCAUCUGCAAGUUUUCUUGCAGUUUAUGUACUGUGGUUCAGGGAGUAUGCUCUAUAAGCUGGAGUUUGGUAAUCUGUGUUCAAAAAGAUUUCCAGUGGAUUCCCAAUCCCUUUUUUUCUAAUGCUAUUUAAGUUAUACCUUUCUGUGAGAUAUAAAUGAGAGAUAAGGAACAUAUUUCAUCUAUGGAUUCUCUGUCAGAGGCAUUGUGUGCUAAAUAUUGUAGUUAGCUAAUUAUUCAGCCCUGAAUUUCCUGAUCCGCUUUUUACACCGGAGGAUCUAGGAGAGAUCUGUGCUGUCGAUUACAUUAUCAAGGGGCUGGAGGACUGCACAGAGAGCAUGCCUGCUAGGUGUGCAGCUGAUUUGAAACCGGGGUGGAUGAGGAGGAGACACGAGGACCUAGGACGAGCCGGCUGCUCCGUGUCCCUUGUUUUUAACACUCGCAGCAACCUUGUAAUGCUGGUGAGACCAUCUGUGUAGUCAUUUGGCUCAGUGACUUUGGAGUCAGCUAACCAGGUCAGUGUGACCUGGAGAAAAGUCAGCUGCAUUUUCUGAGUGUUAUCUCUCCUAUUUAAAAGGUGGACGAGCACCGUCUCCACUUCCCGAGCUGGUAUGAAUUAUAAGAGGUGCUGUGCGUGGUGCUCGGAGCCCAGGAAGCGCUCCAUAAGUGACAGCCAUCUUUCUCGCUGCCGUUCCCAUUUAUAGACCAGGAGACAGGGGCUCGGACCACCCGAGUGUCGCGUUAGGGCCACAUGUGGAAGGGCUAGAGUCAGAACCCAGAGCCCUGCAGCCGCAGAGCCCGCUCUUUACACCACGCUAUGCAAGGGAGUGAGGUUUCAAAAGACCUUGCUGGGCUGUCGCUGCAAAGUGAGAAAAGAUUCUGUGCAACAGGGAUCAGCGCAGAGAUAUUCAUUAGUGCUGAAAAAUAUUAUACAAACAGAGGGAUAGACAGCGCUGGUUUGAUUAUGUCGAGCGGACAGAAAACUUCUAGAAGCGGCAAGGACACGGGCUUCAUGGAGAGAAGGCUGCCUGUCGGUAGGACGUGCCAGCAUCUCAGGCUGCAUUAGCACGUCCUGUCCGGGUCGGUGAGGACAAUAAUUACCCCAGCACACUCGGCUUCAAUCACAAGACCUCCACCGCACUGUGACCAGCAGACAGAGAAUGACAUUUCCAGCAGGACAGAGCGUGUCCUUCUACUGAAGCCGAAGGCCUGGGGGACUGGGCGUUAGGGAGGCUGACAGGAAGGUGUCAGGACCCUGGGGAAACGGGUCCAUCUCUGUGAUUAUUUGCAGACCUCCAUGAAAGAAAUGAAUUUCCUUGGGUGCCACAGGAAAGGGUAACUGGGUUUAAAAUAAGUAUGAAAAAAUACACAUUUUAGCUGAAGAGGAUAUUAAGGCAUUUGGUUCUGUAAGAUCUAUGAACUAUUUGGCUUUGUUGGAUAUUAAGAUAAUUUCUAAUGACCAGGACACAGCACGUGGGCUGUUUGGGACAGGGAAUGAGCCUCUCCCCAUCCAAAAGAAAUUUAAGAAGAGUCCAGGUAACUAUUUUUUUUUUUUUUUUUUUUUUUUGCAAUAUCCCACUGAAAGUAAUUAUCCACAGUGAGGAGAUGCAGACUUAAGAGAUUUCCAGGGAGGCGCUGUGACCCAGUGGGCACUGAACAGUUCUUCGGGGCGAGGCCCAGUGUGGAGGGCAGCUCAUAAAAACCUCUCUCCUUCCCCCUUUCUCAUGACCAACACCGUCUCCUUUGUGCUGGGAGCAUCUUUUGUUUUUAGAGCUGGCCACGGAACCAGGGCCUCAUGCAUGCUGGGCGGGCCCCACUCCUGAGCUACACCCCCAGCCCCACUGCGACCUUCGUAAAGAGAAAGCGGAAAACUCAGCUGCGGUCGUUGCUGAUGAGCGAGUUGUUCGCCUUCUCGAUGUUGACGUCAUCCCCCACGCAGAACACAUCACAGGCUGCCUGUGACACGAGAGGCUUCCGGUGACUGCUUUCGGCUGAGAGGGGCUCCUGCCUCGGAGCUCCAGGUCACGGGAUGUAUUUCAGCAUCCUUCCUCCUGCCCUCCAACUCUGCCUGUCUCCUCUCCUCCUUCUUCCUUUACCUCUCCACACACUCACUCAUCCCUCCAUCCCUCCAUCCAUCCAUCCAUCCAUCAUUUCAUCCCUCCACCCACCCACUCACCCAUUUGUCCAUCCAUCCAUUCACAAUCCAUCUGUUCAUCCAUCCAUCCAUCCACCACACCCUCCCUACCACCCAGCCAUGUAUCCACGCAUCUGUCCACCUAUCCUGUAUUUUUAAAAUACCCUCAAUAUACUGAGCACAUCAUGUUUACCAUUAACUUUAUGACUUAACCUUUACUUACCCUAUAACUCUAUGCUGAAAUUUAUUUCUAAAAUCAACUUGCAUAGAGGCUUAACAUUAAAGAGGAAAGUAAAUAUCAUAGAAUUUCCUAUUUGUCUUCCUUAAAAUAUUUAAAAAAUUAUAUAAAGACAAAAAUGCUGGAUGUCUGGAUUUGCAUUUUUCUUUUUUUAAAAUCAAACUCACUCAUUCUUUGGUGUUAAUAAUCCUAAGAAUUAUUGCUCAAUUAUUAUUUUUGCUAUUGUUUUUGAGUUGGAUUCUAUUUUUCUUAAGCUAGCUUCGGAUUCCUGGGCUCAAGUGAUCUACCAAGUAGCUAGGACUACAGGUACACGUUACUACAGAACUAGUUUUUAAUAAAAAUCUAUUUUCCAAUACUGGGAAUUGAACUCAGGACCUUGUGCUUGCC
Cavia porcellus (domestic guinea pig) is the source of this 5741-nucleotide long non-coding RNA. RefSeq lists it as uncharacterized. The record is from RefSeq and is a predicted model, not a curated record. NCBI's taxonomy places the organism in Eukaryota, Metazoa, Chordata, Mammalia, Rodentia, Caviidae. The transcript is spliced from 4 exons.